This is a long non-coding RNA of Hydra vulgaris (swiftwater hydra), 608 nucleotides long. RefSeq lists it as uncharacterized. NCBI's taxonomy places the organism in Eukaryota, Metazoa, Cnidaria, Hydrozoa, Anthoathecata, Hydridae. The record is from RefSeq and is a predicted model, not a curated record.
AUAAAUCGUAAAGUAGACACAGUGAAGAUGACGUCAAAUCAGCGAUAAAUCAAACGCAUAAGCCAUAAAUGUAAACAUUUUUUUUCUGCAGCUUGAACUAAAAACAUUACAAAAAUAAUUUCCCAAUCAGUCUUGAGGUGCUAACAUAAUUAGUUAAUUGUGGGUAUCAUCUUAUAUAAUCAAAUUUCUCUUCUUUUCCGACCUAGUUUAUAAUAUUUUUCUUAAAAAUUAUUUUCACUUAUGAAAAUAUCAUAUUUUAUAUAAACAGAAGUUAUAAUAAGAAGGAAAAAAGUUUAAAAAAUCUUUACUAAAUUUUCUUGUUAAAAUUUAUUUGUGAAGCGAUUAAGCAUCUUUUUCUCACUAUUACAAUAAAAACCAAAAACCAAAAACAAAUAUUUCGGAAGAUUCACCCUACUGAUUUGCACGCACCAAAAAAUGAAUAGCUUUUGAAUAUUAAAAUUGUUUGCUGAAAUCAGACUAUGAAAAAAAACUGUUCGACAUAGGUCUCCCUAGAAUGCUCAAGGUAACAGCGGUAAAUCGUAGCUGUGUUCGUGUGGUUUUACACAAAAUUUAAAGUCUUAAAUCUUGUAAAUAUCGUAUUUUGAUGA